Long non-coding RNA from Ailuropoda melanoleuca (giant panda), 451 nucleotides. RefSeq lists it as uncharacterized. The transcript is spliced from 5 exons. The record is from RefSeq and is a predicted model, not a curated record. Lineage: Eukaryota; Metazoa; Chordata; Mammalia; Carnivora; Ursidae.
CCCCCACAACCCCCCUUCUCAUCACCACUUAUAAUGGCACACAAGGGCUCCCUCUGAGGUGGACGGCCCGAUGCAUAGGGAGUCCCUGACCCCGUGACGUUUGGGAACAAGUGGAACUCACGCAGAGGCAUCCAGGUAUUUCCAGAGACUGACGAGCGAGGUCUGCAAUCCCUUCCUAACAGCAGUUCUUUGUUCUAUAGAUGAGGAAACUGAGGCACAGAGAUUAAGGAAUUUGCCCUACGUUUCCUGGUCACAGAACAUUGGUCAACCCAUCAUCAUCAACUCAGUUGGCUGAUUUCUGCCUUCGGUACAACUUCUUAGAUGGACCAACCACACAGCCAUUCCUCUCUUGGGUCUCAUGGUCUUCCUCUCAAGAAUUUUUCCAGGGUAACGGGAUCCAAGUUCUGUUCGCCUCUCCACUCUGCUGCCUGCAACAGCUGCUUUACACACA